This 67-nucleotide transfer RNA is filed under the name Ailuropoda melanoleuca (giant panda). It matches the Rfam family "tRNA". Rfam says of the family: Transfer RNA (tRNA) molecules are approximately 80 nucleotides in length. Their secondary structure includes four short double-helical elements and three loops (D, anti-codon, and T loops). Lineage: Eukaryota; Metazoa; Chordata; Mammalia; Carnivora; Ursidae. The record is from Rfam by way of RNAcentral.
GACAGCGUAGCUUAGUGGAAAGAGCCAGCUUUGGAGAUAGACCUGGGUUCAAAUUCCAGCUCUGCCA